This 800-nucleotide ribosomal RNA is filed under the name Bacillus sp. (in: firmicutes). RNAcentral's name for it is "bacterial SSU rRNA". Lineage: Bacteria; Bacillati; Bacillota; Bacilli; Caryophanales; Bacillaceae. The record is from RNAcentral.
GGCUCGCAGGCGGUUUCUUAAGUCUGAUGUGAAAGCCCCCGGCUCAACCGGGGAGGGUCAUUGGAAACUGGGGAACUUGAGUGCAGAAGAGGAGAGUGGAAUUCCACGUGUAGCGGUGAAAUGCGUAGAGAUGUGGAGGAACACCAGUGGCGAAGGCGACUCUCUGGUCUGUAACUGACGCUGAGGAGCGAAAGCGUGGGGAGCGAACAGGAUUAGAUACCCUGGUAGUCCACGCCGUAAACGAUGAGUGCUAAGUGUUAGGGGGUUUCCGCCCCUUAGUGCUGCAGCUAACGCAUUAAGCACUCCGCCUGGGGAGUACGGUCGCAAGACUGAAACUCAAAGGAAUUGACGGGGGCCCGCACAAGCGGUGGAGCAUGUGGUUUAAUUCGAAGCAACGCGAAGAACCUUACCAGGUCUUGACAUCCUCUGACAAUCCUAGAGAUAGGACGUCCCCUUCGGGGGCAGAGUGACAGGUGGUGCAUGGUUGUCGUCAGCUCGUGUCGUGAGAUGUUGGGUUAAGUCCCGCAACGAGCGCAACCCUUGAUCUUAGUUGCCAGCAUUCAGUUGGGCACUCUAAGGUGACUGCCGGUGACAAACCGGAGGAAGGUGGGGAUGACGUCAAAUCAUCAUGCCCCUUAUGACCUGGGCUACACACGUGCUACAAUGGACAGAACAAAGGGCAGCGAAACCGCGAGGUUAAGCCAAUCCCACAAAUCUGUUCUCAGUUCGGAUCGCAGUCUGCAACUCGACUGCGUGAAGCUGGAAUCGCUAGUAAUCGCGGAUCARCAUGCCRCGGKGAA